Molecule: ribosomal RNA, 253 nt
Filed under: uncultured bacterium
Lineage: Bacteria
Description: partial 16S ribosomal RNA
Rfam family: Bacterial small subunit ribosomal RNA
Source: RNAcentral
UACGUAGGGGGCAAGCGUUGUCCGGAAUCAUUGGGCGUAAAGAGCGCGUAGGCGGCCCAGUAAGUCCGCUCUGAAAGUCAGGGGCUCAACCCCUGGAUGCGGGUGGAUACUGCUGGGCUAGAGUCCGGAAGAGGUGAGUGGAAUUCCUGGUGUAGCGGUGAAAUGCGCAGAUAUCAGGAGGAACACCGAUGGCGAAGGCGGCGAUCUGGGUUGAUACUGACGCUGAGGUGCGAAAGCGUGGGGAGCAAACAGG